AUUUGGGAAAGCUAACCGUCUAUUUGCCUGUAUAAAAUUCCAAGGCCCACAAACCAUAGCGCUGCGAAUAGGAAGACAGGUUGUCUGACCGAAAAUGAAAUGUAGAAGAGAACAUCAGUGCAUCCCUGUGGAGACUCAACCAACUCCUAUAGGUCCCUGUGAGCAAAAGAUCCAAUCGACCUGGCAAACAACAUUCCAAGAAGCUUGCGUUGAAAGCUGUUCCACAGUGGAGUGGAGGACAGCGUGAGUGUUCACGAGGAAGCACGGAGAUCCGAAGCGCGUUCAGCGCGGUGUCCUGGCACACGGCUGCAGGCCUGGUGCGGACGGGGAACCGCAGCGGGACCCCACAGUUUGGGGAAACGGCGAAAGAGACGUCAAGCCUUCGUGUUGCUGCGGCUGAGAGGGACCGUGAGGAAAAGCAGAAAGGCGUGAGCUGAAAGCCCGUGGCUGCACAGCACCUGAGCUCACCCCAGCAUGUGUGCGAGCCAACCCAGCUCAACCUCUGGUAAGACUCAUUAAAGCUGAAUGCCAGGACCAGCCAGCAAGGGAGAUGGAGCGGUGUCCUUAACAAGAUGGCGUACAACUGCGACGGAAAGAAGAACUGUAAAUACUUUUUUUUUUUUUUUUUCCUGGAGAAAUGUCUCCUCAUAUGGUUAUAACAGAGUGAAGCAUUAGUCAUUUUCAUUAUGUUGCCAGCCAACUACAGUCAUUAAACAUCUGUUUUCCAGAAA
Molecule: long non-coding RNA, 731 nt
Organism: Anguilla anguilla (European eel)
Lineage: Eukaryota; Metazoa; Chordata; Actinopteri; Anguilliformes; Anguillidae
Exons: 5
Source: RefSeq, a predicted model, not a curated record